Molecule: ribosomal RNA, 295 nt
Filed under: uncultured Acholeplasma sp.
Lineage: Bacteria; Bacillati; Mycoplasmatota; Mollicutes; Acholeplasmatales; Acholeplasmataceae
Description: partial 16S ribosomal RNA
Rfam family: Bacterial small subunit ribosomal RNA
Source: RNAcentral
UCCCGCAACGAGCGCAACCCUAUUGCAGUUACCAUCAUUAAGUUGGGGACUCUAGCGAGACUGCCAGUGAUAAACUGGAGGAAGGUGGGGAUGACGUCAAAUCAUCAUGCCCCUUAUGACCUGGGCUACAAACGUGAUACAAUGGCUGGAACAAAGGGAUGCGAAGCAGUGAUGUGGAAGCGAAACCCAUAAAAACAGUCUCAGUUCGGAUUGAAGUCUGCAACUCGACUUCAUGAAGUCGGAAUCGCUAGUAAUCGCGGAUCAGAACGCCGCGGUGAAUACGUUCUCGGGGUUU